This 442-nucleotide ribosomal RNA is filed under the name uncultured bacterium. RNAcentral's name for it is "partial 16S ribosomal RNA". It matches the Rfam family "Bacterial small subunit ribosomal RNA", at positions 338 to 795 of the family's 1533-position model. The record is from RNAcentral.
CCUACGGGUGGCAGCAGUGGGGAAUAUUGCACAAUGGGCGCAAGCCUGAUGCAGCAACGCCGCGUGAGCGAAGAAGGUCUUCGGAGCGUAAAGCUUCUUUCUUCAGGAAGCAGGAACUGACGGUACUCAAGGAGGAAGCCCCGGCUAACUACGGGCCAGCAGCCCCGGUAAUACGUAGGGGGCAAGCGUUAUCCGGAUUUAUUGGGCGUAAGGAGUACGUAGGUGGGUUUGUAAGCGAGCGGUGAAAGGCAGUGGCUUAACCAUUGUAAGCCUUGCAAACUGGAAGUCUUGAGUGCAGGAGAGGAAAGCGGAAUGCCUAGUGUAGCGGUGAAAUGCUUAGAUAUUACGAGGAACCCCAGUGGCGAAGGCGGCUUUCUGGACUGUAACUGACACUGAGGUACGAAAGCGUGGGGAGCGAACAGGAUUAGAUACCCCGGUAGUC